This 477-nucleotide ribosomal RNA is filed under the name uncultured bacterium. Its description in RNAcentral is "bacterial SSU rRNA". It matches the Rfam family "Bacterial small subunit ribosomal RNA", at positions 37 to 507 of the family's 1533-position model. The record is from RNAcentral.
CGUGGCGGCAUGCCUUACACAUGCGAAAGUCGAACGGCAGCACGGGAGCAAUCCUGGUGGCGAGUGGCGAACGGGUGAGUAAUAUAUCGGAACGUGCCCAGUCGUGGGGGAUAACGUAGCGAAAGCUACGCUAAUACCGCAUACGAUCUACGGAUGAAAGCGGGGGAUCGCAAGACCUCGCGCGAUUGGAGCGGCCGAUAUCAGAUUAGGUAGUUGGUGAGGUAAAGGCUCACCAAGCCGACGAUCUGUAGCUGGUCUGAGAGGACGACCAGCCACACUGGGACUGAGACACGGCCCAGACUCCUACGGGAGGCAGCAGUGGGAAUUUUGGACAAUGGGCGCAAGCCUGAUCCAGCAAUGCCGCGUGCAGGAUGAAGGCCUUCGGGUUGUAAACUGCUUUGUACGGAACGAAACGGUGAGCUCUAAUACAGUUUGCUAAUGACGGUACCGUAAGAAUAAGCACCGGCUAACUACGUG